RNAcentral lists this long non-coding RNA (389 nucleotides) under Physcomitrium patens. RNAcentral's name for it is "long non-coding RNA (PPAT_LNC013964)". The record is from RNAcentral. Lineage: Eukaryota; Viridiplantae; Streptophyta; Bryopsida; Funariales; Funariaceae.
UAAAAGAAUCCAUAAGAAGUCUUAAAAUAUAUUAAAAUAAUUAAAAAUUUAUCUUCAAUAAAUCUCAAUUAAGUUCUAAUUUAAUACUGUUUGAAAUCUUAAUGGACUUCAAUCAAAUUUUAGCCAAAUUCUAAUCAUAAACCAUAUCUUAAAUCAAAUCCUAGACAAAUCCUAAAUCCUAAAUCAAAUCCUAAAUCAAAUCUUAAAUAAACCCUAAAUCCUAAAUCCUAAACAAAAUCCUAGAUAAAUCCUAAACAAAUCUUAAAUCUUAAACCAAAUCCUAAACAAAUCCUAAAUCCUAAACCAAAUCCUAACCAACUCAAUUUAAUCCUAAUAUUAUUUAGAACCUUCAUAUCUAUUAAUUAAACUAUUGAUUUUGCAUAUUUUUU